CUCAAGUUUGACUACAUUAAACCCUAGAUAUGGAAUUUAGUUCAUGAUAUAAAACAUGGAAACUAUCAAAUUAAUCAAGAACAACAUAAAGGAGAAAAGAGAAAAAAAACUAUCAUUGUAGUGAGUCAAUCUUCUUCGAUGUAUUGAUCUUGAUUUCUUCAUUGCUUCUUGCUUUCUUGUAUUGUUGAAUUCCCCCAUCAAAUAGGUCUUUAGGAUUAGAGAAGUGCUAUAAAACCAGAUUCAUUUGAACAGGCUUUGUACGCAAGUGUGUGUGGUAUUAUUUGUGCCAUUUUUUAAUUGGAUGGGAUCCAUCUCAUUGUGAGUAACCUGUAUAAAAUUUGGUAGAAUAGCUUUUUCCUUAGGAUUAUGUAUAUAGUAUCUUGAAGUGUUGGAAUCGUGAGGGACGAGUAGGGCUUUAGAAGAAGUCCAAAAAUUUCGGAACACUUGUUCUCGCCGAUGGCAGUGGCUUCACAAUACCGCGGCUCCACGAUUUGUAUCUAUGCUGGCUCGUGGCGCCUGGGCACCAGCUUGCUGGAACUUUUCUAUUUACUGAGUCCCUGGACUCUCAGUUGCUGAAGAUAUUUUUUCUUUGGCGCUUAGGCACUAUUGAGGUAGCGUCUUGGCGCUGCACUUCUCGUUCACUUCAAGUUAUUCACAUGCUUGUUUGGCCUCUUUCUUUGCAACGGUCGCAUAUUUUUGUUCCUUCUUUUCUUCUCAGCUUAUUUCAUCGCGUCAUCAACAUCAUCUUUGGUUCAUUUUCAAGCUCCA
RNAcentral lists this long non-coding RNA (768 nucleotides) under Olea europaea subsp. europaea. Lineage: Eukaryota; Viridiplantae; Streptophyta; Magnoliopsida; Lamiales; Oleaceae. The record is from RNAcentral.